Long non-coding RNA from Gallus gallus (chicken), 1670 nucleotides. NCBI's taxonomy places the organism in Eukaryota, Metazoa, Chordata, Aves, Galliformes, Phasianidae. The record is from Ensembl.
UCUCACUGUCAGAAAGGCAUUCAGUGUGUUUGACAUUAAGGGUGGCGGAAUGUUUGUGUAAUUAUGAAUGUUAGACUUGCAAACACGCCUUUUGAUUGCAACAGCCUGAACUUCCACAUGUCAAUGGGAAUAUAACUUUUCACGAGAUAAACCUUGGUUUAUGUACCUUGGCAUCGUCACUGUUCAUUUCUAUAUUAUUUCAGUGUGUAUAUCUUUAAAUUGGAUCUGGAUUUUACAUGUACGCACAUUUCAGAUGAGAUGUGGAUAUAAUCUGAAAGAAUUGCCUAAGAACUUGAGGAUGGGACUGAGGAAGUGGAGUGGCUGCAGUCCUUAUCUGAUCUGAGGAGGAGGAAAGGAAUCGAACUGAAGUGGCCAUCAUGUCAUGUGAGGGAUUAUACAUCAGGAAUAUUUGCUAAAAUAUGGAAUGUGAUGAAGGAAGGGCUGUAGAGUGAGAUGGCAGCUUUCUGGAAGACAGCUAGUUUGGCAAGUUGCAUGAUAAGACUGCAAAUGACUGAAGAGUGAAACACAACAAGGCAUAUGGACAAGCAGGACUGGGAAGGCUUGUUUUGUUAAGUGAACUCUCUUUUCUCCAAACUUCACUAUUUGUGUAUCAAAAAGGUUGUGUUGCUUUUUUUUUUCCCCCCCACACCGCUUCCUGGUGACUUUCUGUUGGUUUACAGUCUGUGCGCUCAGUCAGGACUCAUUUUUAAUCUCUGUUGCCUUGUGUGCACCCAGAUCUGUGCUGCCACCAACGUAUUUCCUCCUUCUGGCAAGGACACCUAACUCAGAAGGCACCACACUCACAAAUUAACAGCACAAGUGCUUCAGCUUAAAGUUCUGCAGUGCCUAGGUGGUCAGUAUCUGAAUUAGUCAGUAUCAUUCGGGUUAGCUGUGUAGAAGCACCAAAGGAACAGAGAAUUACAUGGCAAAACUCAGCAAGAUGAAUGGAGAGCUGCUAGAAAUAUACCUGGAAAAGGACUUAAGCUUAGGGAGUGCCUCAAGUUGUGUGAUUGUCUGAGACUCAGAUACCACAGUACCCUUCAGCUUUCCUGAAAUUACCAAUACAGUCUUUUUUUGUUCAAAAUCCCUUACUGUUGUGUUCCUUGCCUGCCACUCCCAGCAUGUGCUAUGCACUAGCUCAGCAGUUAAAUGGCAGCAGACUUGUGCUCAGUUUCUUCCUCUGCCUGAGGGAGCACUAAUCAGUGUCUCUCAUCUUCCAGGAAAGUAUCCUGGCUAUGAAAUACUCUGAAGUGGAAUGGUUGCUGUGUCUCCUUUUGAAGGAAAGGCUGUGAGACCUGCAGCUGUUCAGCCUGUUGAAGAGAAGACUGAGAGAGGAUCUUACCAAUGCUAAUAAAUAUGUAAAAGAUGGUUGGGCCAGACUCUUUUCAGUCGUGCCCAGCAACAGGACAAGAAACAAUGAGCACUAACUGGAACACAAGGCCCCAUCUGGAGUACUGCAUCCAGGUCUGGGGCUUGCAACACUGAAAAGAUGUGGAGCUGUUGGAACGGGCCUGGAGAAAGCCAUGAAGAUGAUCAGAGGCGUGGAGCACCUCUCCUAUGAAGAAAAGCUGAGGGAGCUGGGCUUGAUCAGUCUGCAGAUGAGAAGGCUCAGGGGAGACCUCACUGUGGCCUUCCAGUACUUAAAAGUUUGCUUAUAAGCAAGAAGAAAA